CCGAGACACUAAACCAGCCUUCUGAUAUUCAUCCGCCCUGGAACCCGGAUUUAAAAAUCUCCUUUUCUCCCAAGACGCCGAAGUGGACGUCCAGCCUAAAAACUACAAACUUCUGCGGAUUCACCUGAAAUCGUCUCCGUGUUGAUUGGGCCUACUAGUCUGGCGCCUAAACACACCUGCUGAGAAUCAGGUGGAGUGGGCGAACAGGCCGCGGGUCCGCCAUGUUUGAAAUCGCUGCGUUUGUUACAAGCAGCAGAGGACCGACCCGGCCAUGGCGUCUCAGCGGUGGUUUGUCUGGCUGCUGAUGAAGACAAGCAGGCCGCGGGGCCGCCAUCUUUGAAAUCGCUGCGUUUGUUACAAGAGCAGCAGAAGGCCACCUGACCACGGCAUCGCAGCGGUGGUUUGUUUGGGUGCUGGCGUCCCUGAAAUAUGGGGAAAAAAUGGCGUCUGGAGCCAGCAGUUGAUCGAUUAUGGAUAAACUACAAUCAAGAUGAGGAUUCCCUUCAAUCAAGCUGAGGAUCGCUUCCCUCAAGCUGAGGAUUCCCUACAAGGUGCCUGGCGGAUCCGCCCAACCCAUCAAAGGUUUGUUAAGUCAAAGAACUGUUCCAAUGGCGGGUCCAGAAGACAUCUCAAAGUAAGAGCUGCUGCUGGGUUUGAUGCUGAAGCGUUUGGCUAUGCUGGUUUGUUUUGAUUCUCUGCUGAGAAUCUAUGCGCUGAGAAGGAUUCUGCUGUUGAAAAUCCUUCUGUCUUGGGUCUUUUUGCUGUUUACUGCUGUGGUCAUGUGACCCGGGAAGGUUUAGGUGUAACUAGCAUGUUGGAAUCUGAAGUUCAUGGCUGAAAGUCAGUUGUGAUGUGAAAAAUGGCUGCCAAAGAUUUGGCAACACUUUAGAGGAUGCAGGAAGUGAUUCAGCUUAGGCAUAAUAAAUAUCACCAUCAUAAUCCUUGAUAACAUACCUGCAUAUUAUUAGUGAUAAUUUAAUGUGGCUAUGUUGACAUUAAUAUAGCUGCAUUAAGAUAAUUAUCUUUUCUGUGAAUAUUAUCAAAUAUACUUUUGGGUAAAAAUAAGGUCUUUUACAUUUCUACAUACAUUUUUUUUAUUUUUUGUAUCUACUUAAUAUUUAGUUUGAAAUCUAAUCUAAAUAUUCUUAAAAUGGCGUCAUUACUAUAAUAAUCUAAUAGCUCAACAAAUUUUAUUCGCGUUUAACAACAAUAUAAACGUGAAAAUCGAUUUAUUUCUGCGUCGACUCGGCAGACGGAUUCAUUUCAUUUCUUCUGGACAACAACAGUCAACAGAGAUCUGCUGGAGCUGCAGGUCAGAGGUCAGAGGUGAGGUUUACACAGUCUAAUCCACCACCUCUUAUUUGCAGGUUUAAAUCUGAGAUUAACUCAGGUUUCCUUCCAGAGAUGAUCCAGUUGGACCCGUCUUUCAGUGUUAAGUUUGUUUUUAACCCAGUUUUCCUCCUAGACUAAGCUGCUGGAUGACCUGUUGGUUCACCUAAUUGUUUCUUUCUCCCUUUAGCUUUUAAAAUCACACAAACUGUUUCUCUGUAGAUGAAGCCACCAGAGGACCUUCUGCUGCAGCCAACUCUUUUCUCCUAUAGGAUCCUCCUGGAUCCUCUUUUUCUGUCUUUCUCUUUAUUCUAUCUUUUCAAUCCCCGGGGGUCGUGACAGAUGGCCUUUCUUAUAGAGCCAACUUCUGGUUCUGCUGGAGGGUUCUUCCUGUUAAAGGGAAGAUUUUCCUCUCCACUGUCACUGCAUGCAUCCUCUAUAUGAGGCAUUGCUUUAGCUUACAUAACUUUUAACCAAUGUUUGAUAACUGCAGUUUUCUUUUUAAAUUUUCUUUCUGUUUUUUUUGAAAGUCUUCUUGUGAAAGGGAUGCUUUUCUUCUCCACUGUCACCACUUGAAUCCUCGAUGUGUCUUACGGUGACGGAGACUGGUUUUGAGCUCAUGGUUGAGAGUUUAAGGUCUUGUCAACACUACAUGGAUGUGGACUGAGGGGAUUUAUAAGCCAGUCAGCAGUUUUUGUUGAGAUGGAGACUGGAAACACCAGAUGGCCUCAGACUGGUAGUUAAUGUUGGUAUCAAGAUGGGCACUAUGGUAUUGGACUCUGAACCCAACAAAAGGAAAUGUUGCGUGCUACUUCUUGAAGCCACUUGUCAAGGCUUUGAAGUUGUCGGAUGAGUUAAAGGAAAUUGGUAACGAAGGAAUACAACAAAACUGUAAAUCCAUUCCCUGCAGGAAAAACACGGUAGGUUAUAUGAGAGGAAGAUGUUCUGAUCUUGGGUACAGCAACCAGAACAGAUCCUGUAUUCUCUAGUCUGUAAUCAAAUAUGUGUAAUUCAUUCUAAAAGGUCACCUAUUGAAAGUCAAGAACAAAGUGUAAAGGUGUGUGAACAACGGCAGGAUGAUGGAAAGAUAAUACCCCGUCUAAAGAUCUUCAUCGCCCCUCCGCUGAUGGCUGACCUUAGUGACCCUACCGUCGGGCUCAGCAGUUUUCCUCAAGAAAUGCUGCAGAACCCUUCUCGAUCAUCUUGUUUUCGUCUCUGGCUUCACCCUUCAUCACCUCCCAAGGACGGACGGACGGACGGAUGGAAAAGCCCUUCAUCGCCUCCCAAGGAUGGACGGACGGAAAAGCCCUUCAUCACCUCCCAAGGACCGAUGGACGGAUGGACGAAAAAGCCCUUCAUCGCCUCCCACUGAUGGAUGACCUCAGUGACCCCAUCACCAGACUCGGCAGGUUUCCUGGAAGAAACCCUAGAAGUGUUCCCAGAUGAGCAGGAAUCCUCCUGGAUCAUCCGAUUUCGUCCUUCAUCGCCUCCCAACGACGGACAAAAGAAAAUGACUGAACUUGAAACAACUCAGUUUCUUUUUUCUUUUCUGUCUAGGAUAAUUUUGUUUAGAAGUUUCAUAAUUUUAUUUUUAUACAUUUAAAAUGUCUUUCAUUGUUAAAUAUUAGUUAGAAUUUAAUGUCUGGUUUAGGUUACUGGAGGAUAAAUCAGUCAUUUUUCAACUGUUAACAUUUUUGUUUCUCGGUUAUUUUCU
This is a long non-coding RNA of Xiphophorus maculatus (southern platyfish), 3043 nucleotides long. RefSeq lists it as uncharacterized. NCBI's taxonomy places the organism in Eukaryota, Metazoa, Chordata, Actinopteri, Cyprinodontiformes, Poeciliidae. The transcript has 5 exons. The record is from RefSeq and is a predicted model, not a curated record.